UGUAAUGGUUCCCUAGUACCAUCAAUCUGGCCUAAUGCCUUUCGAAUGUCCUUUGUUAGAAGGAAACCGCCAAUUUCCAAUGCUACUAACAAUUGUCAUAGCUCUGUCCCUUCACCUAUCACGUCUUUUGAGCCUGAGGGAGUGCCUCGAAAUACUGCAUUCACUGCCAUUUUAAAUGCUAUGGAUGCAAAUAUGGAGGAUCCAAUGCCAGAUAUGGAUCCGACCCAUAAUACCUCUUCAGCUUCUAUGAUGUUGCCACAUGUGAUGCCUUUACUAACAAAUGGUCCUGAUACACCUAUGGACCUUGAAAGCUCUAUGCCCCCUUCUCACCCAGCCAACCAUUCCAAUUCAUCUUCCACCCCUUCAAGCACUCUGCAACCUAACCCAGAUGGUCCUCUCGAGGCCCAAGAGUUUGCUGCUCGUGUUAUAUCAAGAUUAGAGUCUCUGCAUGACUCUACUGCUCAACCUAUACAAGUGGAGAUAGAUGUUGACUCUGAUCUUCUACAUGAUUUCGUUGACCAACGAGCCUGCACUAAUCCUUUCAUAGGAGACUCAUGCGUCGGAUGAACAAUCUCAAAGGCUAAUCCAAAGCUUUGGGAAGGACUUGCGCAGGAUCUCUUAACCCACUACCGGUGCUUCGGGUGGAAUCUGACUUGCUUGGUUCUCUCUUGUUGCUUAUGUCCAGGUGCUUUCUCUCCAAUCACAGCUAAUACAUAAUGUAGUUCAAUUUCAAAAUAGCAACCCGUGGCUUUUAACUGGUCUUUAUGCUAGUACUUCUGUCCUUUUACACAAUAAUUCAUGGACAAAUCUUUCUGCAUUAAAUUUCUCUGAAAUACCUUAGUGCGUCUUAGGGGAUUUUAAUUCUAUUCUACAUAGUUCUGAUAAAUCUGGUGGACGUGCUUUUAACACCAACCUUUCUAUUCAGGGUUUUUGUGAUUUUGUGAAAAAUUAUGGUUUAACAGAUUUAGGCGUUUUUGGCCCCAAAUAGACUUGGUGUAAUAAUCGCAAGGGUCAUGCUCGGAUUUUUGUGUGUUUUGAUAAGGUUUUUGGUAACUCUUCUUGGCUUCAACUCUUUGGUCAAUCUUCUAUCUUCAAUCUCCCUUAGGCUUGUUCUAAUCAUGCACCACUUAAGGUGCAUAUUCAGCUUUCAGAUUCUUCUGGUACAAAACUCUUCCGUUUUCAAAAUUUUGGCCGGAAUAUCAAGAAACUAGCAAUAUUGUCCAAUUUAAUUGGAAUACAAUCCAUAAUUCAAACUCCCCUUUUGACUCUUUUCAUCAAAAUCUUUGUAAGAUGAGAAGGGUUUUCUCUCACUGAAAUUGGUAUUCUGUUGGUAAAUUAAAACAUAAUUUGGAUCUCCUAAAGGACUCAAUUAUUGCUUUAGAAUCCCAGUUUGAAGAUAGUAACCCUACCGAUUCUCAGGUUCAGCACCUUGCUUCCCUUCAUAAUUAUCAAUUAGCUUUGAUUAAACAAGUUAACCUUAAACAGUGGGCUAAAGUCAAAUGCUCUUGGGUUAAUGAUGGUGAUAGGAAUGUCAAAUACUUUCACAAUUUAAUAACUCAUCAUCAUCACAAAAACUUUGUUAAAGGUAUUAUGGACCCUUCUAUAGGUUGAAUUCAUGAUACCAAUCAGAGAGUGUCUAUAUUUUGUAAUCACUAUACCAAACUCUGAAGCACCUCUCAUUUUAUUCAACCUAAUACUUUUAUGCCUAGUCUUCCCAGCUUAUCUUCUGUUGAGAGUUCAUCUUUAAUUAAACCAUUCUCUCUCAAAGAGAUUCACUCUUCUGUUCAUUCUUUAGGUCUUGGCAAAAGUCCAAGACAUGUUGGUUUUACAUGUGAAUUCUAUAGGGGGCUUACUGGGAUACUUUAGCACCUUCCUUCCUUAAUAUUUUUAAUUGAUUUUAUCAGUAUGUGCAUGUUCCUAUCAGUUGGACCAAAACAUUUCUUACAUUUAUCCCAAAAAUUAAGAAUCCAACUGAUGUUACUCAUUACAGGCAGAUUGCAUUAUCUAAUGUCAAUUAUAGAAUUUUUGCAAGGGUUAUAUCCAAUCAAUUAAAGCCUCUUUUAUCUAACAUUAUCAGCUAUAAUCAAUCUAUUUUCCUCCCAAAUCGAAGUAUUCACAGUAACAUUUUAAUUGCACAAGAAGCUGCUCAUACUAUGUUCUCUUCUGGGGGGAAAAAUCCUCUGGUUUUAGUUAAGCUUGAUUUAAAAAAAGGCAUUUGAUCGAUUAUCUUGGGAUUCCAUUUUUAAGGUUCUCAAUGCUAUGAACUUUCCUUCUAAAAUUUAUUAAUUGGAUUAAUGCUUGCAUCUCUUCCUCCUCUACUACGUAUCUAAUAAAUAGACAUAUGUCCAACUCUUUCACUAGUAGAUGUGGGGUAAGACAAGGAGAUCCCUUAUCUCCGUAUCUUUAUAUCCUAGUAGCUCAGAUCCUUGCUCAAUUAUUCUCUCAAGCAGUUGAAUCUACUAAGCUUACACCACUUAGAGUUAAUUCCUUUGUAAAGUCAGCCAUAUCAUAUAUGCUGAUGACAUUCUCUUAUGCUUUAGAGAUAACCAAAAAUCCUGCUUAACUUUAAAUCUAUCUUUGACAAAUACAAUUUUUUAACUAACCAACAUGUUACUCUUUCCAAAUCUGCAAUUUAUUUUCCUAAAUCCACUCCUAGAAACACUAGAGCUAACAUCUGCUCUUAGUUUCAAAGAGGAUCAAUUUCCUUUCAAAUAUCUUGAUGCAUCUAUUUCUCUUCUUAAGCUUAAAUCAAAGCUUGCAUCUUGGUAAUGUAAUUAUCUCUCCCAAGCUGGCCAUCUGGUGCUUAUUAAAUCUGUCCUCAACUCUAUCCCAAUCCAUACACUUAGUGUCAAUUGGUUUCUUGAGUCUACUCUUCACAAGGUUGAAACUUUGAUUAAAAACUUCCUUUGGCAGAAGAAUCUAGACACCAAAGGAAUUCACUUAGUAAAUUGGGACAUUGUCACUACUGAUAAGAAUAUGGAUGGUUUAUCUGUUCAAGAUUGAUCUCUUUUUAAGCAUACUCUUCAAGUUACUCCUAUUCAACGUUAUCUCAAUAAAGAUGAUAGUCUUUGGUGUACUGUUACUCAUGCCAAAUAUGGAUCAUUUAAUCCCUGGUUUCCUUUGGAAUCUAGGCACAUCAGCUAGAGCUAGCAUCUCUUUAUGAAUGCUCUUUUACAUCUUCAAUUGGGUUUUAUCAAAAUUAUUAGAAAUGGGUUUCAAACAGAUAUUCUUCAGGAUCCUUGGCCUUUUUAUUUGCCUUUGAAUCUUAAACCUACGUACAUAAACCCUUCUUCCAUCCUUGACGGUACGGGUGCAUCUGUUGCUGCUAUUAUCCGAUCCGGUAGCUGGGAUUCUCAGUUGUUAUUGGAUAUGUUCGUUAAUAGUUUAAUUUGUCACAUUAAUUCCAUAGAAGUUGCUCAUUCCCCUUGUGAUGAUAAAUGGUUUUAGAAGGCAAAUCAAACAGUUAAGACUACUGCUAGGGGAGCUUAUAAUUUCCUGAGACAGCAGAUCUGUGCCCCUCAUAAUUCCAAUUGGUACGGCUGGCAGAACAUGUGGAGAACUCCUGUUAUACCUAAAAUACAGUUUUUUUGUUGGAAGCUUCUACACAAAAGAUUAACUACCACUGAUAGACUUCGAAGAUUGAAUUUGAGAUCACAGCAGCCUUGUCCCCUAUGUAACAUUUUCCCUUAAAACCAUUGAUCAUAUUUUCUUUGAAUGCCCUUUUUCAAUCAAACUAUGGGAUUGUUGGGGACACAAUUUACCUGACUCCUUCCAAUCAAAAGACUCUUGGGCUUUAGGCGACUGGCUCCCUGAAGGCUAUGAUCAGAGUUGGGAAACUUUUCCAAGCUAGUAUUGAAAAUCAAUUAUGUUUUAUCUGGAAGGCGUGGAAUUCUACCUUAUUUAAAGGAAAACUCCCCUCUAUUACUUGAACUACGUCUCAAGCUUUAUCCUUCACUAGCUAUCAUGCUAGAUCCACAACCCAGCCUGAAGGAAAUAGAAUGAGCAACUAUUUAUGGGUUAAAUGGGUCAAACCACCUUAGGGAUAGGUUAAAUUAAAUACCGAUGGCUCCUGUUUACUGCAGGAAGGUGGACUUGGCUAUGUUCUUCGGGAUCAUGAUGGUUCAUGUAAACUAGCUGGGCAGGAAUAUGUUGCCAAUAAAACUCCUGCACAAUGUGAAGCAUUGGCAAUGCAAGCUGGGCUACAAGCUACCAUUAUGGGUGGCUUCUCAACCAUUCAAGUUGAAACCGACUCGCUGCUGCUCCAUGAUAUACUUACCAAAGAUUCAGAUCCACUGUGGAAUAUAUAAAGCACUAUCAGCAACAUCAAAGGCCUCCUGUCAAUGGUAGAUUCCUAAACUGUUCCUUCACUGUUAUUGAGAAUGUAACCAAGCAGCUAAUUGAGCUGCAUCCAAUGCUAGAUCUGGAAAAUCCAGCUCAAAAUGGGUGGAUCCCUACCCACCCGAUCUUGUAGCCCUUUUGUAUAAUGAUCUAAACAGGUCAUUCUGUCGUACAUUGAAGUCUUAAUAGAUUUCCUUUUUGUUUUGCAAAAAAAAAAAAAGUAAA
Molecule: long non-coding RNA, 4563 nt
Organism: Musa acuminata AAA Group (dessert banana)
Lineage: Eukaryota; Viridiplantae; Streptophyta; Magnoliopsida; Zingiberales; Musaceae
Exons: 2
Source: RefSeq, a predicted model, not a curated record